AUGUCCAUCAGACUUUGGAAAUGGGAUGUCAAACUUUUGGCCCUUAAUAUGCCCCUAUAUGCCAGAUUGCUUAGAAAAGUAAUAGCACACUCCAUGUCAUCAGGGUUGAAGUUUCACUCAAUUUUCAUGUUUAUGUACUGUAUGUUAGUGAUGGUUUGAACAUAACUGGUGCGUCAGCACUGUGCCGAGUGCACAAGCGUGAAACCCCGUAUUGGUGCGUGUAUCGCUUUAAGAAAACAUUUACAAAAAUCAUGUGACCAAUACAGGAAGCGUGUCGGUUGGAAGUGCCGCGCCAAACUGUGUUUGUAAGGAAACAAACUGUGUCGACACGUUGCUGAUUUGUUGGAUGGAGUUUUGCUUGCCCUCACCUUGUUCCACUGACUUCAUGGAUCAGUCCAAGAAGAAAUUUGGAUCUUUUGACGCCAAAUAAGGUGACGUGUCAGCUCUGCUCCACAAAGCUAUCUUACACUUCAUCAAUGCUGAGGCAUUAUAGAGCUCGGCAUGGCGAUGAAGAAUUGGCAGAUACUCGUGUGAGUACCCCAGGUUGACUCACCCAGAACCCAAAAGACGGCGGCUCCUGCUCCAGCCAACCAGAAGAUGGGUAAGGAGAUGGCUCCAGCCAGACUCAUCUGGUGUGGCAUAGUCAGCUCCUUGCCUGUAAAAAAAUAAAAUACUAAAGAUUCAACGCAAAAUAGUACAAAAAAAUAUGCAUAUACAGUGGUGCCUUGAUUUAUGAGUUUAAUGCAUUCUGUGACCACUCUCGAAACUCAAAAUUUAUUACAAAUCCUCUUCCCCUACUGAAAUUAAUGCAAAUAGCAUUAAUCUGUUCCAGCCCCCCAAAAACACCAAACAAAUUUUUUUGCAAUGUGUUUAAUAAUAAUGAAAAUGGCAACCUACAGUAUUGUACUUUACAGUACAUAAUUCAAAAGAAUGUAAAGAAUAAACUAGUUUGUGCAUCAUGAUAAUUCAGUGGGCAUUGUGCUGAUCCUUCUGGUGGCAAUAUAAUACUUGCAUAGGCAUAAACCAAAAAAGACUGAAGCUUAGUAAACUGCAGAGGAGGAAUAAAUGUAUGCCUGUGAGUGUUGUUA
This is a long non-coding RNA of Phyllopteryx taeniolatus (common seadragon), 1088 nucleotides long. RefSeq lists it as uncharacterized. Lineage: Eukaryota; Metazoa; Chordata; Actinopteri; Syngnathiformes; Syngnathidae. The record is from RefSeq and is a predicted model, not a curated record. The transcript is spliced from 3 exons.